RNAcentral lists this non-coding RNA (502 nucleotides) under Megaselia scalaris. RNAcentral describes it as "Eukaryotic large subunit ribosomal RNA". It matches the Rfam family "Eukaryotic large subunit ribosomal RNA", at positions 2517 to 3051 of the family's 3401-position model. The record is from Rfam by way of RNAcentral. Lineage: Eukaryota; Metazoa; Arthropoda; Insecta; Diptera; Phoridae.
UUAAUUACAGCAUUACUGCGUAGUACGAGAGGAACCGCAGGUACGGACUCAUGUCACAAUACUUGUUCGAAUGAACAGUGCUAUGACGGUACGUCCGUUGGAUUAUGCCUGACUUGUCAUGUUCUGUAUAACACUUGUCAAUGUUCUGUAUAACAUAGGGGGGGGGGCUAUAGAAACAAAAAAUUACCUUAAAUAAGGGAAAUUGUUUUAUAGAAACAAUAUUUUCUUUAGACAAUCAAAUAUCUUUUGAUCUGCAUCUUAUGUUGCUAGUUGAGUCCUAUGACUAUAUCAGGAUCACACUACACACUUUUUAAUUUUUUUUUUAUCCUUCGAUGUCGGCUCCUUAUAUCAUUGUUAAGCAAAAUUUAAUAAGCGUUGGAUUGUCAUCUAUGUAAGGGAACGUGAGCUGGGAUUAGACCGUCGUGAGAUAGGGUAAAACUAACCCUACUAAUGACAUGUUUUAAUUACAGCAUUACUGCGUAGUACGAGAGGAACCGCAGGU